CCUACGGGAGGCAGCAGUGGGGAAUAUUGGUCCAUGGGCGCAAGCCUGACCCAGCAACGCCGCGUGAAGGAAGAAGGCUUUCGGGUUGUAAACUUCUUUUCUGAGGGACGAAGAAAGUGACGGUACCUCAGGAAUAAGCCACGGCUAACUCCGUUCCAGCAGCCGCGGUAAUACGUAGGUGGCAAGCGUUAUCCGGAUUUAUUGGGUGUAAAGGGCGGGUAGGCGGGAAAGCAAGUCAGAUGUGAAAACUCAGGGCUCAACCCUGUGCCUGCAUUUGAAACUGUUUUUCUUGAGUGCUGGAGAGGCAAUCGGAAUUCCGUGUGUAGCGGUGAAAUGCGUAGAUAUACGGAGGAACACCAGUGGCGAAGGCGGAUUGCUGGACAGUAACUGACGCUGAGGCGCGAAAGCGUGGGGAGCAAACAGGAUUAGAUACCCUAGUAGUC
RNAcentral lists this ribosomal RNA (443 nucleotides) under uncultured bacterium. Its description in RNAcentral is "partial 16S ribosomal RNA". It matches the Rfam family "Bacterial small subunit ribosomal RNA", at positions 338 to 795 of the family's 1533-position model. The record is from RNAcentral.